Molecule: ribosomal RNA, 497 nt
Filed under: uncultured bacterium
Lineage: Bacteria
Description: partial 16S ribosomal RNA
Rfam family: Bacterial small subunit ribosomal RNA
Source: RNAcentral
GAUGAACGCUGGCGGCGUGCCUAAUACAUGCAAGUCGAGCGAACGGACGAGAAGCUUGCUUCUCUGAUGUUAGCGGCGGACGGGUGAGUAACACGUGGAUAACCUACCUAUCCGACUGGGAUAACUUCGGGAAACCGGAGCUAAUACCGGAUGAUAUUUUGAACCGCAUGGUUCAAAAGUGAAAGACGGUCUUGCUGUCACUUAUAGAUGGAUCCGCGCUGCAUUAGCUAGUUGGUAAGGUAACGGCUUACCAAGGCAACGAUGCAUAGCCGACCUGAGAGGGGGAUCGGCCACACUGGAACUGAGACACGGUCCAGACUCCUACGGGAGGAAGCAGUAGGGAAGCUUCCGCAAUGGGCGAAAGACUGACGGAGCAACGCCGCGGGAGUGAUGAAGGUCUUCGGAGCGUAAAACUCUGUUAUUAGGGAAGAACAUAUGUGUAAGUAACUGUGCACAGCUUGACGGUACCUAAUCAGAAAGCCACGGCUAACUACGUG